Long non-coding RNA from Neomonachus schauinslandi (Hawaiian monk seal), 1272 nucleotides. RefSeq lists it as uncharacterized. The record is from RefSeq and is a predicted model, not a curated record. The transcript has 3 exons. Lineage: Eukaryota; Metazoa; Chordata; Mammalia; Carnivora; Phocidae.
AGCCUUGGCACUAGGGGGCGCAUCUUGGUCAGCUCGGGCUGUUAGGACAAAUGCCACACGCUGGAGGCUUCAACAACAGAAACGUAUUUCUCACGGUUCCGGAGGGAAGUCUGGGAUCAGGGUGCCAGACGCCAUGGGGCCAAAGCUUUGUGGUGAACAUAAAGGCCCAGGGAAGCCUGGACACAGGCGGUACAAGGCAAAAAACUGCAUGAGACUCAGAGGAUCACUUGACAACACCGCUCCAGGAGGAUCAGGACCAGGACUGAGACAUUUUCUUGAGGUCAGCUUCAUGAAGUCCCACUGGAUCCCAUGCUCAGAAGGGCCCUGGACCUGGUUUAAUGAUCUGUGGUCAACAUCUUGAAAUUCUUAAUAAUUUUGAGCAAGGCAACCGAUGUUUUUAUUUGGUAGUGGGACCUGCAAGUUAUGUAGCUUUUCCUAGGUUCUCUUUUUAUUUUAUUUUGAUGACUAUAUCAUUUCAUAAUUUACUCUAUGUUCAUUUAAGCUGUACCGAAUACAGAUAAUGCUGCAAAAAUAUCUUUAUGACUAUAGAGUUUAGUUUUGUUAAAUUAAUCAGGAUAAAUUCUAGCCGCGGGUUUUAUGGACCACAGCAUGUACAUCUUUAUGUCUCAUAUUACUAUAUUCUGAUAUGAUAUCUAUAUUUCUCCAUAUUCCUUAUAUAAAAAAAAAAGUAUUACACAUCCUACUUCUUUUAAGCCAGUAAGAGGAUUACUCAGCUUUAGGCCUCUUGAAGAGAGCCCUGCCCCUGUCUUUCUUCUUGGCCAGCCCUGGGUGUGACAGGAGAUGCCAGCAUGUUGCUCCUUACUGAGAAUGGGGGUGGCAAUUACAGAGACCUGGGCAUGAAUCACUCUAGACAUCAGCUUCUUCAUCUAGUUGGGGAAUAAUACCUACCCCGAAGGACUACUUUUGUGAAGACCAAGCAUUAGAGUAACCAACGUAGUGCCUGGAACUCUGCAGAUACAAAAUGAAUGUGGGUUUCCGUUCCUGCUUAAAUCAGUUUCCACCACUUACUGGCUCAGGUGCCCAGGAAACCAAAGGUCAGGAGUUUCAAGCCCCCCACCCCAUUUUUUUUGUCUUUUCCAAAAGUAUAUAGAUACCCAUCACAAAAAUCAGUUCUGGCUCCUUUUAUUUAGAAUUCUUUGUUGUUUGUGCUUUGUUACACUUUCUGCUUUUGGUCCUUUUUCUGAAAGCUCUAUAGCUGUUUAAAUGAAAAGUUUCCUGGGUGCCUGGGUGGCUCAGUUGGUUAAGCGACUG